UGACAAAUGACUAUGAGAAUCUUGUUUGAU
Molecule: non-coding RNA, 30 nt
Filed under: Mus musculus (house mouse)
Lineage: Eukaryota; Metazoa; Chordata; Mammalia; Rodentia; Muridae
Source: RNAcentral